This 217-nucleotide unclassified non-coding RNA is filed under the name uncultured Tomentella. RNAcentral's name for it is "sequence contains ITS2". The record is from RNAcentral. Lineage: Eukaryota; Fungi; Basidiomycota; Agaricomycetes; Thelephorales; Thelephoraceae.
ACACCUCAACUCUCAUGGUUUGCCAUGAUGAGCUUGGACUUUGGGGGUUUUGCUGGCCUAUGGUCGGCUCUCCUCAAAUGAAUCAGCUUGCCAGUGUUUUGGUGGCGUCGCAGGUGUGAUAACUAUCUACGCUUGCAGACUCCCACCGGGCAACCUUCAGUGAUGAAGGUUCGCUGGAGCUUAUAAACGUCUCUCUCAAUGAGGACAGCAUUUUGAA